AUGAACGCUGGCGGCGUGCUUAAUACAUGCAAGUCGAACGAAGCACUUACAGCCGAUCCCUUCGGGGUGAAGCAGUUUGUGACUUAGUGGCGGACGGGUGAGUAACGCGUGGGUAACCUGCCUUAUGCAGGGGGGAUAACAGUUAGAAAUGACUGCUAAUACCGCAUAAGCGCACAGCACCGCAUGGUGCAGUGUAGAAAAGAUUUAUCGGCAUAAGAUGGACCCGCGUCUGAUUAGGUAGUUGGUGAGGUAACGGCCCACCAAGCCUACGAUCAGUAGCCGACUUGAGAGAGUGAUCGGCCACAGUUGGGACUGAGACACGGCCCAGACUCCGUACGGGAGGCAGCAGGUAGGGAAUAUUGCACAAUGGGGGAAACCCUGAUGCAGCGAACCGCCGCGUGAGUGAUUGAAGCAUUUCGGUGCGUAAAGCUCUAUCAGCAGGGAAGAUAAUGACGGUACCUGACUAAGAAGCCCCGGCUAACUACGUGCCAGCAGCCGC
Molecule: ribosomal RNA, 499 nt
Filed under: uncultured bacterium
Lineage: Bacteria
Description: bacterial SSU rRNA
Rfam family: Bacterial small subunit ribosomal RNA
Source: RNAcentral